GAGGAAUAUUGGUCAAUGGGCGAGAGCCUGAACCAGCCAAGUAGCGUGCAGGAAGACGGCCCUAUGGGUUGUAAACUGCUUUUGUAUGGGGAUAAAGUCAGUCACGUGUGAUUGUUUGCAGGUACCAUACGAAUAAGGACCGGCUAAUUCCGUGCCAGCAGCCGCGGUAAUACGGAAGGUCCGGGCGUUAUCCGGAUUUAUUGGGUUUAAAGGGAGCGUAGGCUGGAGAUUAAGCGUGUUGUGAAAUGUAGACGCUCAACGUCUGAAUUGCAGCGCGAACUGGUUCACUUGAGUAUGCACAACGUAGGCGGAAUUCGUCGUGUAGCGGUGAAAUGCUUAGAUAUGACGAAGAACUCCGAUUGCGAAGGCAGCUUACGGGAGCACAACUGACGCUGAAGCUCGAAGGUGCGGGUAUCAAACAGGAUUAGAUACCCUGGUAGUCCGCACAGUAAACGAUGGAUGCCCGUUGUUAGUUCACCUAAGAAUUAGCGACCAAGCGAAAGCAUUAAGCAUCCCACCUGGGGAGUACGCCGGCAACGGUG
This 542-nucleotide ribosomal RNA is filed under the name uncultured bacterium. RNAcentral's name for it is "bacterial SSU rRNA". It matches the Rfam family "Bacterial small subunit ribosomal RNA", at positions 356 to 896 of the family's 1533-position model. The record is from RNAcentral.